This 244-nucleotide ribosomal RNA is filed under the name uncultured Actinomycetales bacterium. RNAcentral describes it as "partial 16S ribosomal RNA". It matches the Rfam family "Bacterial small subunit ribosomal RNA", at positions 89 to 334 of the family's 1533-position model. The record is from RNAcentral. Lineage: Bacteria; Bacillati; Actinomycetota; Actinomycetes; Actinomycetales.
GCUCGAGUGGCGAACGGGUGAGUAACACGUGAGUAACCUGCCCUUGACUUUGGGAUAACUUCAGGAAACUGGGGCUAAUACCGGAUAGGAGCUCCUGCUGCAUGGUGGGGGUUGGAAAGUUUCGGCGGUUGGGGAUGGACUCGCGGCUUAUCAGCUUGCUGGUGGGGUAGUGGCUUACCAAGGCUUUGACGGGUAGCCGGCCUGAGAGGGUGACCGGCCACAUUGGGACUGAGAUACGGCCCAG